GCAGUGGUGGUUCAGCGGUAGAAUUCUCACCUCACACGUGGGAGACAUAGGUUUGAUUCCUGGCCAGUGCU
RNAcentral lists this transfer RNA (71 nucleotides) under Loxodonta africana (African savanna elephant). It matches the Rfam family "tRNA". Rfam says of the family: Transfer RNA (tRNA) molecules are approximately 80 nucleotides in length. Their secondary structure includes four short double-helical elements and three loops (D, anti-codon, and T loops). Further hydrogen bonds mediate the characteristic L-shaped molecular structure. tRNAs have two regions of fundamental functional importance: the anti-codon, which is responsible for specific mRNA codon recognition, and the 3' end, to which the tRNAs corresponding amino acid is attached (by aminoacyl-tRNA synthetases). tRNAs cope with the degeneracy of the genetic code in two manners: having more than one tRNA (with a specific anti-codon) for a particular amino acid; and 'wobble' base-pairing, i.e. permitting non-standard base-pairing at the 3rd anti-codon position. The record is from Rfam by way of RNAcentral. Lineage: Eukaryota; Metazoa; Chordata; Mammalia; Proboscidea; Elephantidae.